This 407-nucleotide ribosomal RNA is filed under the name uncultured bacterium. RNAcentral's name for it is "partial 16S ribosomal RNA". It matches the Rfam family "Bacterial small subunit ribosomal RNA", at positions 30 to 526 of the family's 1533-position model. The record is from RNAcentral.
AUCGAACGCUGGCGGCAGGCCUAACACAUGCAAGUCGAGCGGAGCGGCGGACGGGUGAGUAAUGCCUAGGAAUCUGCAUGGUCGUGGGGGAUAACGUCCGGAAACGGGCGCUAAUACAACCUACUAUCAGGCGGCGCUAGGUCGGCUUAGCUAGUUGGGGGGGGAAAGGCCUACCAAGGCGACGAUCCGUAACUGGUCCGAGAGGAUGAUCAGUCACACUGGAACUGAGACACGGUCCAGACUCCUACGGGAGGCAGCAGUGGGGAAUAGUGGACAAUGGGCGAAAGCCUGAUCCAGCCAAGCCGCGUGGGUGAAGAAGGUCUUCGGAUUGUAAAGCACUUUAAGUUGGGAGGCGUUACCAACAGAAUAAGCACCGGCUAACUUCGUGCCAGCAGCCGCGGUAAUUC